GACGAACGCUGGCGGCGUGCUUAACACAUGCAAGUCGAACGGAAAGGCCCUGCUUUUGCGGGGUGCUCGAGUGGCGAACGGGUGAGUAACACGUGAGUAACCUGCCCUUGACUUUGGGAUAACUUCAGGAAACUGGGGCUAAUACCGGAUAGGAGCUCCUGCUGCAUGGUGGGGGUUAGAAAGUUUCGGCGGUUGGGGAUGGACUCGCGGCUUAUCAGCUUGUUGGUGGGGUAGUGGCUUACCAAGGCUUUGACGGGUAGCCGGCCUGAGAGGGUGACCGGCGACAUGGGGACUGAGAUACGGCGCAGACUCCUACGGGAGGCAGCAGUGGGGAAUAUUGCACAAUGGGCGGAAGCCUGAUGCAGCAACGCCGCGUGCGGGAUGACGGCCUUCGGGUUGUAAACCGCUUUCGCCUGUGACGAAGCGUGAGUGACGGUAAUGGGUAAAGAAGCACCGGCUAACUACGUG
This 468-nucleotide ribosomal RNA is filed under the name uncultured bacterium. Its description in RNAcentral is "partial 16S ribosomal RNA". It matches the Rfam family "Bacterial small subunit ribosomal RNA", at positions 28 to 507 of the family's 1533-position model. The record is from RNAcentral.